AAUGGGGGAAACCCUGAUCUAGCCAUGCCGCGUGAUCGAUGAAGGCCUUAGGGUUGUAAAGAUCUUUCAGAUGGGAAGAUAAUGACGGUACCAUCAGAAGAAGCCCCGGCUAACUCCGUGCCAGCAGCCGCGGUAAUACGGAGGGGGCUAGCGUUAUUCGGAAUUACUGGGCGUAAAGCGCACGUAGGCGGAUCAGAAAGUCAGAGGUGAAAUCCCAGGGCUCAACCUUGGAACUGCCUUUGAAACUCCUGGUCUUGAGGUCGAGAGAGGUGAGUGGAAUUCCGAGUGUAGAGGUGAAAUUCGUAGAUAUUCGGAGGAACACCAGUGGCGAAGGCGGCUCACUGGCUCGAUACUGACGCUGAGGUGCGAAAGCGUGGGGAGCAAA
RNAcentral lists this ribosomal RNA (385 nucleotides) under uncultured bacterium. RNAcentral describes it as "bacterial SSU rRNA". It matches the Rfam family "Bacterial small subunit ribosomal RNA", at positions 370 to 772 of the family's 1533-position model. The record is from RNAcentral.